GUGUCAGCAGCCGCGGUAAGACGGAGGAGGCUAGCGUUGUUCGGAAUUACUGGGCGUAAAGCGCGCGCAGGCGGCUUAGCAAGUCAGGGGUGAAAGCCCGGGGCUCAACCUCGGAACUGCCUUUGAGACUGCUAGGCUCGAGACCGAGAGAGGAGAGUGGAAUUCCCAGUGUAGAGGUGAAAUUCGUAGAUAUUGGGAAGAACACCAGUGGCGAAGGCGGCUCUCUGGCUCGGUACUGACGCUGAGGCGCGAAAGCGUGGGGAGCAAACAGGAUUAGAAACCCUCGUAGUCC
RNAcentral lists this ribosomal RNA (292 nucleotides) under uncultured bacterium. RNAcentral's name for it is "partial 16S ribosomal RNA". It matches the Rfam family "Bacterial small subunit ribosomal RNA", at positions 505 to 796 of the family's 1533-position model. The record is from RNAcentral.